UACAGAGGUCUCAAGCGUUGUUCGGAUUCAUUGGGCGUAAAGGGUGCGUAGGUGGCGCUGUAAGUCGGGUGUGAAAUUUCGGAGCUUAACUCCGAAACUGCAUUCGAUACUGCGGUGCUUGAGGACUGGAGAGGAGACUGGAAUUCAUGGUGUAGCAGUGAAAUGCGUAGAGAUCAUGAGGAAGACCAGUGGCGAAGGCGGGUCUCUGGACAGUUCCUGACACUGAGGCACGAAGGCCAGGGGAGAAACGGG
This 252-nucleotide ribosomal RNA is filed under the name uncultured bacterium. Its description in RNAcentral is "partial 16S ribosomal RNA". It matches the Rfam family "Bacterial small subunit ribosomal RNA", at positions 524 to 776 of the family's 1533-position model. The record is from RNAcentral.